AUCUACCCCGCGAUAGCAAACUCCGAAUACCGCAAAGUGAUAUACGGCAGACAGACAUCGGGUGCUAACGUCCGGUGUCAAGAGGGAAACAACCCAGACCGCCAGCUAAGGUCCCAAAUGCAUGGCUAAGUGGCAAACGAGGUGGGAAGGCAUAGACAGCUAGGAGGUUGGCUUAGAAGCAGCCACCCUUUAAAGAAAGCGUAAUAGCUCACUAGUCGAGUCGUCCUGCGCGGAAGAUGUAACGGGGCUCAAGCCAUGAACCGAAGCUGCGGAUGUGUCUUUGACACGUGGUAGGGGAGCGUUCCGUAAGCCUGUGAAGGUGUCUCGUAAGGGAUGCUGGAGGUAUCGGAAGUGCGAAUGCUGACAU
RNAcentral lists this ribosomal RNA (367 nucleotides) under Enterococcus faecalis. RNAcentral describes it as "partial 23S ribosomal RNA". It matches the Rfam family "Bacterial large subunit ribosomal RNA", at positions 934 to 1303 of the family's 2925-position model. The record is from RNAcentral. Lineage: Bacteria; Bacillati; Bacillota; Bacilli; Lactobacillales; Enterococcaceae.